CCUACGGGAGGCAGCAGUGGGGAAUUUUGGACAAUGGGCGCAAGCCUGAUCCAGCAAUGCCGCGUGAGUGAAGAAGGCCUUCGGGUUGUAAAGCUCUUUUGUCAGGGAAGAAACGGUUGAGGCUAAUAUCCUCGGCUAAUGACGGUACCUGAAGAAUAAGCACCGGCUAACUACGUGCCAGCAGCCGCGGUAAUACGUAGGGUGCAAGCGUUAAUCGGAAUUACUGGGCGUAAAGCGUGCGCAGGCGGUUUUGUAAGUCUGUCGUGAAAGCCCCGGGCUUAACCUGGGAAUUGCGAUGGAGACUGCAAGGCUUGAAUCUGGCAGAGGGGGGGUAGAAUUCCACGUGUAGCAGUGAAAUGCGUAGAGAUGUGGAGGAACACCGAUGGCGAAGGCAGCCCCCUGGGUCAAGAUUGACGCUCAUGCACGAAAGCGUGGGGAGCAAACAGGAUUAGAUACCCUGGUAGUCCACGCCCUAAACGAUGUCUACUAGUUGUCGGGUCUUAAUUGACUUGGUAACGCAGCUAACGCGUGAAGUAGACCGCCUGGGGAGUACGGUCGCAAGAUUAAAACUCAAAUGAAUUGACGGCUGGAGACGUAGCCGACGGACGACGACGAGGGAGGAGG
This 624-nucleotide ribosomal RNA is filed under the name uncultured bacterium. Its description in RNAcentral is "bacterial SSU rRNA". It matches the Rfam family "Bacterial small subunit ribosomal RNA", at positions 338 to 954 of the family's 1533-position model. The record is from RNAcentral.